UGAUAUGACGUACUUGUACUGAUGAGAUUUUAACACGAGUGAGUGCGAACGGGUGAGUAACACGUGGGUAACCUGCCCAGAAGUAGGGGAUAACACCUGGAAACAGAUGCUAAUACCGUAUAACAGAGAAAACCGCAUGGUUUUCUUUUAAAAGAUGGCUCUGCUAUCACUUCUGGAUGGACCCGCGGCGUAUUAGCUAGUUGGUGAGGUAAAGGCUCACCAAGGCAGUGAUACGUAGCCGACCUGAGAGGGUAAUCGGCCACAUUGGGACUGAGACACGGCCCAGACUCCUACGGGAGGCAGCAGUAGGGAAUCUUCCACAAUGGACGCAAGUCUGAUGGAGCAACGCCGCGUGAGUGAAGAAGGGUUUCGGCUCGUAAAGCUCUGUUGUUAAAGAAGAACGUGGGUAAGAGUAACUGUUUACCCAGUGACGGUAUUUAACCAGAAAGCCACGGCUAACUACGUGCCAGCAGCCGCGGUAAUACGUAGGUGGCAAGCGUUAUCCGGAUUUAUUGGGCGUAAAGCGAGCGCAGGCGGUCUUUUAAGUCUAAUGUGAAAGCCUUCGGCUCAACCGAAGAAGUGCAUUGGAAACUGGGAGACUUGAGUGCAGAAGAGGACAGUGGAACUCCAUGUGUAGCGGUGAAAUGCGUAGAUAUAUGGAAGAACACCAGUGGCGAAGGCGGCUGUCUGGUCUGCAACUGACGCUGAGGCUCGAAAGCAUGGGUAGCGAACAGGAUUAGAUACCCUGGUAGUCCAUGCCGUAAACGAUGAUUACUAAGUGUUGGAGGGUUUCCGCCCUUCAGUGCUGCAGCUAACGCAUUAAGUAAUCCGCCUGGGGAGUACGACCGCAAGGUUGAAACUCAAAAGAAUUGACGGGGGCCCGCACAAGCGGUGGAGCAUGUGGUUUAAUUCGAAGCUACGCGAAGAACCUUACCAGGUCUUGACAUCUUCUGACAGUCUAAGAGAUUAGAGGUUCCCUUCGGGGACAGAAUGACAGGUGGUGCAUGGUGUCGUCAGCUCG
RNAcentral lists this ribosomal RNA (1021 nucleotides) under Pediococcus pentosaceus. RNAcentral's name for it is "bacterial SSU rRNA". It matches the Rfam family "Bacterial small subunit ribosomal RNA", at positions 62 to 1062 of the family's 1533-position model. Lineage: Bacteria; Bacillati; Bacillota; Bacilli; Lactobacillales; Lactobacillaceae. The record is from RNAcentral.